Molecule: ribosomal RNA, 1364 nt
Filed under: Escherichia coli
Lineage: Bacteria; Pseudomonadati; Pseudomonadota; Gammaproteobacteria; Enterobacterales; Enterobacteriaceae
Description: partial 23S ribosomal RNA
Rfam family: Bacterial large subunit ribosomal RNA
Source: RNAcentral
CGAAUGCUGACAUAAGUAACGAUAAAGCGGGUGAAAAGCCCGCUCGCCGGAAGACCAAGGGUUCCUGUCCAACGUUAAUCGGGGCAGGGUGAGUCGACCCCUAAGGCGAGGCCGAAAGGCGUAGUCGAUGGGAAACAGGUUAAUAUUCCUGUACUUGGUGUUACUGCGAAGGGGGGACGGAGAAGGCUAUGUUGGCCGGGCGACGGUUGUCCCGGUUUAAGCGUGUAGGCUGGUUUUCCAGGCAAAUCCGGAAAAUCAAGGCUGAGGCGUGAUGACGAGGCACUACGGUGCUGAAGCAACAAAUGCCCUGCUUCCAGGAAAAGCCUCUAAGCAUCAGGUAACAUCAAAUCGUACCCCAAACCGACACAGGUGGUCAGGUAGAGAAUACCAAGGCGCUUGAGAGAACUCGGGUGAAGGAACUAGGCAAAAUGGUGCCGUAACUUCGGGAGAAGGCACGCUGAUAUGUAGGUGAAGCGACUUGCUCGUGGAGCUGAAAUCAGUCGAAGAUACCAGCUGGCUGCAACUGUUUAUUAAAAACACAGCACUGUGCAAACACGAAAGUGGACGUAUACGGUGUGACGCCUGCCCGGUGCCGGAAGGUUAAUUGAUGGGGUCAGCGCAAGCGAAGCUCUUGAUCGAAGCCCCGGUAAACGGCGGCCGUAACUAUAACGGUCCUAAGGUAGCGAAAUUCCUUGUCGGGUAAGUUCCGACCUGCACGAAUGGCGUAAUGAUGGCCAGGCUGUCUCCACCCGAGACUCAGUGAAAUUGAACUCGCUGUGAAGAUGCAGUGUACCCGCGGCAAGACGGAAAGACCCCGUGAACCUUUACUAUAGCUUGACACUGAACAUUGAGCCUUGAUGUGUAGGAUAGGUGGGAGGCUUUGAAGUGUGGACGCCAGUCUGCAUGGAGCCGACCUUGAAAUACCACCCUUUAAUGUUUGAUGUUCUAACGUGGACCCGUAAUCCGGGUUGCGGACAGUGUCUGGUGGGUAGUUUGACUGGGGCGGUCUCCUCCUAAAGAGUAACGGAGGAGCACGAAGGUUGGCUAAUCCUGGUCGGACAUCAGGAGGUUAGUGCAAUGGCAUAAGCCAGCUUGACUGCGAGCGUGACGGCGCGAGCAGGUGCGAAAGCAGGUCAUAGUGAUCCGGUGGUUCUGAAUGGAAGGGCCAUCGCUCAACGGAUAAAAGGUACUCCGGGGAUAACAGGCUGAUACCGCCCAAGAGUUCAUAUCGACGGCGGUGUUUGGCACCUCGAUGUCGGCUCAUCACAUCCUGGGGCUGAAGUAGGUCCCAAGGGUAUGGCUGUUCGCCAUUUAAAGUGGUACGCGAGCUGGGUUUAGAACGUCGUGAGACAGUUCGGUCCCUA